GGUGGGGGCUGCUGGUUCUUCCAGGAGCGCGCAUGAGCGGACGCUGCCUACUGGUGGCCGGGCGGGAUGUAACCGGCUGCUGAGCUGGCAGUUCUGUGUCGCUAGGCUUCUGCCCGGCCGCCGCCGCACAUAAGCCACGAGGAGGAGCUUUACGACUUCCCGGUCUUCGGCGCCGGGCGCAGCAAGGGCCAGACUCUGCGCUAGCAGGCGCUGCGCGCCAACCGGCCGGCACCUGUCGCAGAAGGUGCAACCGAUCGCACUGUCGCGCAGAAGCUCCUCAAUGGCCAGCGCCAGCUGCAGCCCCGGCCGCCCACUCGCCUCAUCUGAGCCUGGCAGAAGGUAAGCAUGAGCAAAUUACUUUUUAGAGGUAACUUUGCUGAACUUGUGAAGAAUGGUGUGCAAGGUCCAGAGCGACUGCAGGAGAGGGAAGGUGGGAUUCCCACAGAGCAGGAGCACAGAUAAGCCAAGCAAGGCCCUGCUUGGAAGGCAGCAAUCAACAGAGAUGCACAGACCUGUGAGGGUGCCGGGACAGCCAUGCAACAAUGCAGCCCUUUUGCUUCCUGAGCUCACCAGUUCCCUCGCUCCACCUCUGAGAGGUGGUUUGGAGAAACACAGCCCUUCUCAAGAGGGCUGCAAGAGCAGACCACAAAGAGCAUGUCUGGACCUAGAACCACAGCAUGUAACCUCGGAAGCAGUGAGACACCAGCCAGCAUGGACAAGCAGCAGGCACUUGCUCUAUACCAGAUAUGCUGCAUGAUAGAACGCUAUGCCCUCUCACAGAUAGGUCCCACCUCCAGCCUUCCCCUGCUGCCAUCUAACAUCCUAAACUCCAGCUCUGAAUGUCUGUCUCCUGCUCUGAAUCUUCAGUGACUUCGAAACUCAAGUCAGGACACCUCUCAGUUUGGCCUCACUGCUCAAGAUUGAGCUGAAUUCAUGACCAUAAUUCAAGCAUUCAGAUUCAUGGGCUGUUUUGUGGGUUUUGCUAUCUCUUAUUUUGUUUUUGCACAUCUUACCCACUGAAACGUUGGGCUGCAAAAAGUUUGAUCACUAAAUAUGUAGGCAAUGCUGGAUACUGGGCUGUUAUUUACAUAUUUGUAUCACCUUUUAUUUCAUAAGAUAGCAUUGUCAGAGUAAUUUAGUAUUUCAACAUAAUCAACAAGUAAAAUAAAAUUAAUGAGAAUGAUC
RNAcentral lists this long non-coding RNA (1185 nucleotides) under Homo sapiens (human). RNAcentral's name for it is "HSALNT0289582". Lineage: Eukaryota; Metazoa; Chordata; Mammalia; Primates; Hominidae. The record is from RNAcentral.